This 1207-nucleotide long non-coding RNA is filed under the name Salarias fasciatus (jewelled blenny). RNAcentral's name for it is "lncRNA (ENSSFAG00005000508.1)". Lineage: Eukaryota; Metazoa; Chordata; Actinopteri; Blenniiformes; Blenniidae. The record is from RNAcentral.
ACUUCCUCUCGUGUCCACAUCUCAGCCCCCUCCCAUACCCACCCGUGUCUGUCUUUGCACCCGUUUCUUGACCUCUGAACCUUUGAAUUCCUUGCUCACGGUCUGAUUUUAACCUUUUCAUCUGAAACCUUUGCGUACAUCUGUUGCUCUCUUUGCCGGUUUACCCCCCCCCCCCCCCCCCCUCUCUGCAAGGACGUUCGUCUUUCCACCUUUCUCCACUGUCUGUCUCACAGCUCCGUCCAGUGCGACAAGUCGCUCCACUGCAGCCCCUCAGAAAAUCUAAAAAUGGAAAGUUUUCUACACAUCGAAGAAAUUAUCUCCCGCCCGCCUCGACCAGAUAUCUCCUGUCUUCUUUUUCCCCUUCAAGGCUCACAGAAACGCUGUAAUCUUUUUUUUUUUUUUUUUUUUUCUCCGGACAUGUGCUCGACAGAGUUUCUGAAACUGAACUUUUCUUGAACAAUGAAAGACUGAAAAAAAAAAAGAAAGAGAGAACAAACAAGACAGCUGGCCUGCGGUGACAAUGAAACAAAAUGGCUGCUGGUCGGAGCGCCUUCGCUCACGCCGCGAUUACCACCUGACUCCUCUCGCUGGGUGACUCACGAUGAUGGCACAGCGAUGGUUCUGGAGGGCGGUCACAGCCAAUGAAUGUUUACAGCUAAAAUGCUAAUAAGCUAAUCGCUCUGGCUCCGGAGGCCUCCGUCUCUGUGGGGGGAGGAACAGCGCGGGGAAUCUGACGCAGAUCUUCGUCUUUUGUUGCGCUGUAGGAACUGGAGGGCUCCCGAUGUGUUCCGCUGGUGAAUCUUGGAAGAUGCACACUGUAUUACUUAAAGUCUGCUCAUGUAUUACACUCAGCAAGAAUUGAAAGACGCCUUAAGAACUGGUCACAGUCUGCUUAUUUACUCAUCCGCUCAGAUUGCUUCUUUUAUAAAGUCUGAUUUAAGUGGGUCUUAUUUUUUUUCACCCUGAUGCUUUAAAAAAUCUUAUUAAACGCAAUCAGAAAAAAAAAAAUGCUGAAGUUUUUUUUUUUGUCUGAAAGUGGCGAUGAAGUGGUUUUAACCACAGCUGAUGUAACCAUUUAAAGUCAUUUGCUGUUUGAUCAUCAUGUCUCUUUUAUUUUUGUUGUUGCAGUUUUUAAAAUCUGCCUGUGAUGGUUUUUCUUGUGUCAUCUCCUGUGGACAAUAAAGAUUUCUCUCAUUGCUGUAGAUAA